This 805-nucleotide long non-coding RNA is filed under the name Ananas comosus (pineapple). Its description in RNAcentral is "long non-coding RNA (ACOM_LNC003455)". The record is from RNAcentral. Lineage: Eukaryota; Viridiplantae; Streptophyta; Magnoliopsida; Poales; Bromeliaceae.
GCUGUUGGAUUAGCUUGUGAGCUGGCUUCCGAGUAGGGGUGGAAACGAGCCGAGCUCGAGCGAGCUUACCUCAGCUCAAGCUUGGCUUGAAAUUAAUUUCGAGCCUAAAGUUAGGCUCAGGCUCGGCUUGAAAUUAAUUCGAGCCGAGCUCGAGUGAGCCUAACUUCAAGUCGAGUGAGCUUGAGCCCUAAACGAGCCACUUGAAAUUCUUAACAUCGUGCAAUCUACAAUUUAAUUUUUAUAAAACAUUAUCUAAAAUUCGAUACAAAAAAUACCAAAUAGUCCAAUAUACAAAAUAAAUGCAUAAAAUACGAUAUUAUAAUAUUAAAAAAAAAAAGGAAAAACGACUCUAUGAGCGAGUGAAAAAGAGAGAGCAAUUAGAGUAGGAUUUUGUUGGUUUAGUUUUGUCCGCCCAAGAAUAUAAAUUCUAUAUACAUAUAAUUAAAAUACAUAAUAUAUAUUAUUUUAUAUAAUUAAAUUAUAUAUUACAUAUACUUAUAUAUAGAGAGAGUUCGGUUACUAUACUGUUAUUAGUAUAGACCCCUUUAUACUCAUAAGUUUUUUAUUGUUAGAUCUAUACUUUUGACCAUUUCCAUCCGUAAAUCAUACUAUUCAACUAACUACCCAUUCAAUCCUAGGAGACCACUAUCAUCCUAACUGCACAUCCAACGAUCGAAAAUUUAUGAAUAUAAAGUGGUAUAUACUCAUAAGAGUAUAGUAGCCCUAGCUAGCCUAUAUAUAUAGAAUUAGGCUACUAUACAAUUAAUAAUAUCAACUACUUGCUAUUAGGUUUCGGCCCUUGAAU